UAUCAUGUAUCAUUAUCAAUUAUCAAUUUACUUAUUUCACUAUUACAAUCACAAUCCAAUAUAACACACUUAAGACAUCCUAGAUAUAUGCCAUUACCAAUAAUUAACAUGCUUUACCUUUUUGAGCUUCAGGAUCGACUUAUGAUGCUAAUUCGACGACCUGUCUUUAACCUAACCUGUGCACGAAAACAAACCGUACGCUGAGUAUGAAUUCAGUGAUAUUUCUAUAAACCGAUACUUAAGUCAAUAAUAAAUCAUAUAUCAAUGAACCUUGAGAAUUCAAUCUAUUACUCCUAAUAGUUCAAUCAUUUGUUUUUGAUAUAUAAUGCUAAGAUCAUGUUAAUCACUUUCGAUGAAAUGUAUACAGUUUCAAUGUUUAUUCAUUAUCCGUCGAUUUUUCAUAUUUAUUCAGUAAUAACCUGUGAUUAGUAUCAUUCAGACAUUCAGUAGCAGUCCAUUAUUCAGUAACAAUUAGUUUUUCAGUACUUUUAUUUACAAUUCAUUUGAGUAAUAAUAUUAUUCAGCUUUCAUUCAAUAUUCUGUACCAUCUCAUUUCAAUAACAGUCAAUAUUCAAUAGCAGACAGACUUUAAUACUUUUCAUUACCCCUAUUAACAUGACUCGGACCUAGACGGAUACACGGAUCCAACUCACACACCGAGGAUAGUAUACAGUGUUUCAUCAGCCGAAGCCAAAAUACACCGUAAGGGUAGCAAUAACAGUAACAGUAACAGUAGCGGUACACAAAGUACCUCAUCAGAACAAAUUUGGAACAGUAACAGUAACAGUCAAAUACGGAGUACCUCUUCGGAACGAAUCCGGAACAGUCAUAGUAGUCGACAUAUAUAGUGUCUCAUCGACACACAGUCAGAAUAUCCCUGAACACUUCCAAUCCUAUGACAUGCCAACUAUAUCCGACUAGCCUGAUACAAUUAAUAGGGUAUUCAAUAAACUUUCAAAUUUUCAAUUUUAUUUGUAAUUUAAUUUCAAUUCAAUUUAAUACAUUUUUCCAUAUCAAUCCACAUGCAAAUCAAUUUCAAUGCAAUAUACAUUUUUCAGUUUUCCACUCAAUAUUCACAUAUUCUAUUCAAUAUCAAUAAUCACUAAUAAUUCAUAAAUUUUUUAUUCAAUUCAAUAUCAUAAUAAUAAUACUUACCAUUCAUAUAAAUAAUAAAUUCAACAAAUAAUUAUUAGAUUUGGUUUAUAAAAAUACAAACCGUAGUUUUCAAGCUAACUCCUGUUGUCUUUGUCUUGUCCUUACUUAGUCGAGAUUUCCCGAGAUAACGUUAGCUACGAAAAUUAAAAUAAUUAUACCAUUAACUUUCAGCACUCAUUAUAACAAUUAAUUGAAUUUCUAUUCAAUUUACACCUUAUUUCCAAUUUAGGUCCUAACUAAUUCAUUCACUUUACUAACUUAAUUCAUUCUCCAUUUCUAUUCAAAUUCCAUCCAAACUCAAAUUUAAUUAUUAAAUUUUCACCUUAUCUCAUUAAUUUCGAAAUUUCCUCAAAUUAACCCCUACAACAUAAAACUUAUGAAUUACUUAACAAUUCAAUCCUUAUUUCAUUUCUAACUUGAAUUUCUAUCAAUUUAGCCCUUAAUUCAUCAUUUUAUUUAACAUAAACAAUAUUUAGAAAUCUAAUAAUUUUAAAAAUCUUAAUUUAAUUUCAUCAAAACUUUGUUCCAAAGCUUCUAAAACAUUAAAAUUAAGUAAAAAUGGCUAAAUUGACUUACCUAUUAAACUUCCAAGCUUCAAAAUCCCUAUUUUCCAUUUUUUCCUUUCUUUUUCUCCUUCCUUUCUUCUCUAUUUCUUUCUAUUCUUUUUCUUUUUCUUUUACUUUGUUCUAUUUUAUAUAUAAUAAUAAUAAUAAUAACUUACAUAAUAAGUAAAUAUACAUGUAUUUUACAAAUGUAGAUAUACUAAUAUUACACAUGUCACUAUACAUACCAUACAUUUGUCAACUUUUUAUUUAUUUUUCACAUAAAAAUCUUAUAAUAUAAUUAUUUAAUUAAUAAAUAUAUUUUAUAAAUAAUAAAUAUAUAUUAAUACUUAAAUACAAGCAUUACAAGUGUAUGUAUUUUUAUUAAUACACUUGUACCCAAUCAUUACCACACAUUUGUCUUACUUUUAUUUAUUUAUCAUAUAAUAUCAAUUUAAUAAUAAUAAAUACAUUAAUAUUUACUUAAAUAAUAAGCAAAUACAUACAUAUAUUACAAAUGUGUGUAUUAUAUUUAUUACACUUGUAGACACUUGGCACUCUUUUUGGCUUAUUUACUCAUUUAGUCCCUUCAAUUUUUUUAUUCUAUAAUUAAACUUUCACACUAUAUUCAAUUUAAUCCUUUUAUCCAAUUAUCCUUAAUUUAAGCUAAUUCACUUAAUUAAACUCUAAUUAAUCACUCAAUUAACUUCGUAAAUAUUUAUUACGAAUCCAUUUUUUAGAAACGGAGACCUGAAAAUAUACUUUUCCGGUAACGGUAAAAUUCAGGUCAUUACAUCAUUGAUGUGAAGAUAGAAUUAAAUUGGGAGAUGGAAAAGGAAGAGAUGUACUGGGAGCAGAGGGCGAGAUCGAAUUAGCUUAGCUAAGGGGACAGAAAUACGGCUUUCUUCCAUAGUCAAGCGUCCCAAAGAUGCAGAAUAAAUCGUAUCCGAGGGAUGGAGGAUAAAGAAGGUAUUCUCAAAACGGAAAGAAGAAGAUAUGGAAAUCAUAAUAAGGAGCUACUUUAUGAAGCUAUUCGAAUCUAAAGGAGUUGGUAAUACAAAUCACCUACUCUUAGGUUUUCGCUGCAGUAUUUCUGACAGUAUGGAUCAAAUGCUGGCUAAAGAUUAUAAAGAGGAGGAAAUUUUUGAAGCAAUAAAUAGUAUAGGGUCGACAAAAGCUUCUAGACUUGAUGGAUUUUCUGCAAUCUUCAUUGAAAAAUUUUGGCAUAUUAUAGGGAGGGAGGUAAGUGAUUUUUGCUUGGAAGUUCUUAAUAAAGGAAAAUCUCUUGAUCUUUUAAACCAUACGAAUAUCGUGCUAAUCCUAAAGAAUCCCACCCAAAAAGCCCAUCAGAAUUUAGACCAAUUAGCAUUUGCUCCGUCUUUUAUAAAAUAAUUUCAAAAUCUAUAGCAAACAGACUACAGAAAGUACUUGAUUUUUGCAUCGAUCCAGCUUAAAGCGCCUUUGUAUCGGGUGGAUUAAUUACAAAUAAUGUUCUUCUUGCAUAUGAAAUUCUACAAUCUAUGAAGAAUAAAAGGAUGGGGAAAAAAGGUCUGAUGGCUCUUAAGAUUGAUAUGAGCAAAGCCUAUGAUCGGGUGGAAUGGAAUUUCUUGGAACAAAUGAUGGCUAAAAUGGGAUUUUAUGAGUCUUGAAUUUAGCUUAUUAUGAGAUGCAUCAGUACGGUUUCGUAUUCAAUCAUUUUGAAUGGAAAGUCAGGGGAAGUGUUUCGUCCAGAGAGAGGCCUACAUCAAGGGGACCCUUUGAGUCCUUUUCUGUUCCUUAUAUACAGUGAGGGACUGUCUACAUUAUUAAGACUUGCAAGCGAGGAAGGAAUGCUGAAAGGAAUAAAGGCGAGUAGACGAGGCCCUCAGAUUACUCGCCUUCUUUUUGUAGAUGAUUGCGUGCUGUUUGGGGAAGCAAAUGAAAAAGGUGCAAAAACUUUUGGAAAGAUCUUAAAAGAGUACGAAGCCUGUUCGGGACAAUCCAUUAAUUAUGGAAAGUCAACAGUUUUCUUUAGCUCAAACACAACUGAAAUGAUUUGUUUAGCUAUCUCAAAUAAAUUGAGGGUGAAACGAACGAAUAACACAGAAAAAUAUCUGGGCUUGCCAAAUAUGGUGGGAAAGAGGAAAAGGUUAGCAUUCCAACACCUUAAAGAUCGAAUUAAAGCAAAAAUUAACUGUAGGAGUUCUCAAUUACUAUUGCAAGGGGAAAAGAAGUUUUCAUUAAAUCUGUGCUACAAGCAAUUCCAGCAUAUACAAUGGGAUGUUUUUUAUUACCGAAGUCAGUAUGCGUUGAUAUGGAACAAAUUAUAGCCAAGCAUUGGUGGUAAAAAGGGUUCGGGAGAAGGGGGAUACAUUGGUAGUCAUGGAAUAACUUAUGUGAAUUAAAUGAAUUCAGUGGUCUUGGUUAUUGUAAUUUUGCAAAUUUUAAUUUAGCCCUCUUCGCUAAGCAAGGAUGGCGAUUAAUUGAAAACCCCAAUUCUCUUUUAGCACAGAUGUUAAAGGCCAAAUAUUAUUUGAAUACUGAUUUUCUAAACUCAAAGCUAGGAAACUUACCUUCAUAUACUUGGAAAAUUAUAUGGGCUGCAAAAGGCCUUUUGCGGACUGGAUUAUGUUGGAGGGUGGGAAACGGCCGAAAUAUAAGUAUUGAAGAGGAUGUCUGGGCUCCGAAGGAUGAAAAUCUACAUAUUCAAAAAAUAGUAAGAAAUCAGAAUUUAUUGAAGGUAGCAGACCUAAUUGAUAGCAAUGCUAGAUCAUGGAAAACAGAGUUGAUUACAGAUACCUUUUCCGUAGAAGAUGCUCAGAGAAUACUCCAAAUCCCGCUUGCUCACUCCCGAUAGGACAACUUUAUGGCUUGGAGAGGCGAACCAACAGGCGAAUAUACAGUCCAAAGUGGGUACAGAUUACUCUUUCGAGGCAAUUCCAUCAAUAAUAAUAGAUACAAGCCAAAUGAAAACAGGAAAUGUUGCAAAAAAAUGUGGAAUAGUGACCUCCCCUCAAAAUUAAAAAUUAGAGCCUGGAGAGCCACUCUAAACUACCUUCCUACACUAUCAAAUCUACGCAUUAAAAGACUAGCUAAUGACGCCGUCUGCCCGAGAUGUCAGCAAGGUGUGGAGAAUAUGGAUCACGUCUUUCGAGAAUGCGCUACUUCAAGGGAAACAUGGAAUAGCUUAAAAUAUGACUGGCCUGAAAGAAUAGCAAAUCUGAAAUUUAUGGAAUGGUUUACUUGGAUCAUGCUAAGCAGCAGUACUGAUAUCUGUCGAUCAUUUCUAUGCACCAUUUGGGUUAUCUAGUCGGCUAGAAACAAAUGGAUUCACGAGGGUAAGAAAAUGUCAGGGACAGAGACGGCAAGAUUCAGCUUACAGUACUUACAAGAACUAAAUAACAUUAAAUGGGAAAAACUUGCCUUUAGCCCGAUAAGUGCAGAAUGGAGGCCUCCGAUUCAAGGUAUCUACAAAAUCAAUUUCGAUGCAGCAGUGGACCUUAAAACACAAAGGUCAUGUUCGGGACUCAUAGUCAGAGACUGGAAAGGGAAAAUCCUAGCCACAAAAACCAUAAAUCAUGAGAAUAUACCUUCGAGGUUUGCAGCCGAGUCUGUUGCAUGUUUACAGGCAGUUAUCUUAGGAAGGGAUCUAGGAUUAAAGUUUGUUGACAUUGAAGGGGAUUUUUUGACAGUGAUAAAAAAAGCUCAAACUAAGAGCAUAGACAAGUCGGUAAUCGGCGUAGACAUUCAAGACAUUCAAGAAAUGUGCAAGAUUUUCUAUGAAAGUAAGUUCAUUUAUGUACGAAGAAAAGCAAACGAACAAGCGCAUGAUCCGGUAUCAAAAGGCUUAAAAAUGGUAGAAAAGACUUACAUUAUUCACAGACCAGUUGCUGAGGGCGUCACAGAGGUAGAAAUUGAUCGAGGAUGGGGGUGAAGAAUUCCAACAGGUGGAUGAUUUAGAGAAGGAACCCUAAUGAAUACCAGUCUUUUGUCCUUCUCCAAGAGCUGUAAAUGAAAAUGAAGAUAUUUUAAGAAGAUUUUUAGGAAAUAACAGCUCAUUAAUGUUGGGUUGUCUUUUCAUGUCUUUUAUUAUUUUUGUUUUGCAAAGAGUGGCAGGCCCUUCG
This 5800-nucleotide long non-coding RNA is filed under the name Gossypium barbadense (sea-island cotton). Its description in RNAcentral is "long non-coding RNA (GBAR_LNC005035)". Lineage: Eukaryota; Viridiplantae; Streptophyta; Magnoliopsida; Malvales; Malvaceae. The record is from RNAcentral.